This 506-nucleotide ribosomal RNA is filed under the name uncultured bacterium. RNAcentral's name for it is "bacterial SSU rRNA". It matches the Rfam family "Bacterial small subunit ribosomal RNA", at positions 15 to 507 of the family's 1533-position model. The record is from RNAcentral.
GAUCCUGGCUCAGGAUGAACGCUAGCUACAGGCUUAACACAUGCAAGGUCGAGGGGAAACGAUAGNGAAAGCUUGCUUUUUCUAGGCGUCGACCGGCGCACGGGUGAGUAACGCGUAUCCAACCUGCCCAUCACUUGGGGAUAACCUUGCGAAAGUAAGACUAAUACCCAAUGACGUCUCUAGAAGACAUCUGAAAGAGAUUAAAGAUUUAUCGGUGAUGGAUGGGGAUGCGUCUGAUUAGCUUGUUGGCGGGGUAACGGCCCACCAAGGCGACGAUCAGUAGGGGUUCUGAGAGGAAGGUCCCCCACAUUGGAACUGAGACACGGUCCAAACUCCUACGGGAGGCAGCAGUGAGGAAUAUUGGUCAAUGGACGAGAGUCUGAACCAGCCAAGUAGCGUGCAGGAUGACGGCCCUAUGGGUUGUAAACUGCUUUUAUAAGGGAAUAAAGUGAGUCUCGUGAGACUUUUUGCAUGUACCUUAUGAAUAAGGACCGGCUAAUUCCGUG